GCCCGGCUAGCUCAAUCGGUAGAGCGUGAGACUCUUAGCUUUCACGUCCUAACAAGACUCGAUUGGUUAUCUCAAGGUUGUGGGUUCGACCCCCACGUCGGGCU
Molecule: transfer RNA, 104 nt
Organism: Alternaria alternata
Lineage: Eukaryota; Fungi; Ascomycota; Dothideomycetes; Pleosporales; Pleosporaceae
Rfam family: tRNA
About the family: Transfer RNA (tRNA) molecules are approximately 80 nucleotides in length. Their secondary structure includes four short double-helical elements and three loops (D, anti-codon, and T loops).
Source: Rfam